UUUGGGGAUGAAAGGAAGAUGAAUUCAAGCCGCAUGAACUCGAGCUAAGGCAGGAGGCCAGUAGCGUUUCUACAGAGCCUUGCCAGCUGCCACGCUGCCCGGUGCUCAUCAACACAGAUGGGAUCACCAUAGUGCCAGCUCAUUGUUAAGCGCUAGAAUCACAUGACCUCUGAAGAGUGCCUGACCACUACUGUGAGGGAAGUCCACGGACCCUGGAGGAAUCACCGUGGAAACCAUCAGUUCAAAGCUGACACUGAAUGGAACAAGUCCCUCAUCUCUGGACAGGUGACCUGUCAGUCUCCCCUGAAAGACAGGCAGACACUGUGAGACUAGAGACUCACCCAGCCAGCUCAAGGCACAGUGUAUGGUCGCUGACCUUCCCAGAGAGCUUUCAGGGGCACACCUAGUGGGAAGGCAGCCUUUAGUUCUCUCCAGCCUGGGAAGCUGAAUAAAUUACCUUUGACUCUUAGCUUUGCAGGGGGUAAAGUUCAAAGAGAAGUCACGCAGAAAGGCCCUGCAUCUUACACCCUCCCCUGGGACUGAGCUCCAAAAGCCCGGGAGGCCAACCAGAGGGGUUUCAAGCCUCUGAAAAGUGGAAUUUUGCAUCCCCAUCCCAGGAAAAAAAUGUCCCCAGAUACAACCCGUAUCCCUGGAACAGAAUCAGCUCCAAAUGAACAAGGAUGUUUCUAACUCUAUAACCUAGAAUCAGAAAGAGUAGAAAGAUUUAAAUCCUGAAACAAGGACAAGGCUUGGUGGAAUCAAGGACUGGUAACCAGGACUCAGGACCACAAAUCGUGAUGUUUUGGUUAAAGGACAAAUUGCACAGCCGGCUUUGGUCCGCGUCUCCCCCAGCAGCUCAGGGUGUAACAGAGUGGAUCGAAGGGUGGCAGGUGAGGAGGAAUCGGAAGGGACUGCCCCUGUCACUCAGUGCUUAUUUUCCUGAGAGCUGCCCUCAGCCUCCACCCACGCGCCCUCAGAACCAAGCAAGCUGAGGCCAAUCCAAGGAGUCAGGUACAGCUGAGGAGAAUACCAGCCUCUGCCCUGGCAGCACCUAACUGAACAUCAGGGAAGUUCGUGCAUUGUCUACUGUGUGGACUAUAUAAAGGACACCCAUGUACAGCAAGACUCCGAGAGUUUUUCAGGACUUGUCCAAAUGGAUGAAGAUACACAUUACAAUAAAGUUGACGAUGUUGUUGGAAGUCACGUAGAAGAUGCAGUAACAUUUUGGGCCCAGGUAAAUAGAA
Molecule: long non-coding RNA, 1244 nt
Organism: Mesocricetus auratus (golden hamster)
Lineage: Eukaryota; Metazoa; Chordata; Mammalia; Rodentia; Cricetidae
Exons: 4
Source: RefSeq, a predicted model, not a curated record